This 468-nucleotide ribosomal RNA is filed under the name uncultured bacterium. Its description in RNAcentral is "partial 16S ribosomal RNA". It matches the Rfam family "Bacterial small subunit ribosomal RNA", at positions 28 to 507 of the family's 1533-position model. The record is from RNAcentral.
GACGAACGCUGGCGGCGUGCUUAACACAUGCAAGUCGAACGGAAAGGCCCUGCUUUUGUGGGGUGCUCGAGUGGCGAAAGGGUGAGUAACACGUGAGUAACCUGCCCUUGACUUUGGGAUAACUUCAGGAAACUGGGGCUAAUACCGGAUAGGAGCUCCUGCUGCAUGGUGGGGGUUGGAAAGUUUCGGCGGUUGGGGAUGGACUCGCGGCUUGUCAGCUUGUUGGUGGGGUAGUGGCUUACCAAGGCUUUGACGGGUAGCCGGCCUGAGAGGGUGACCGGCCACAUUGGGACUGAGAUGCGGCCCAGACUCCUACGGGAGGGAGGAGAGGGGUAUAGUGUACAAUGGGCGGAAGCCUGAUGCAGCAACGCCGCGUGGGGGAUGACGGCCAUCGGGUUGUAUACCGCUUCCGCCUGUGACGAAGCGUGAGUGACGGUAAUGGGUAAAGAAGCACCGGCUAACUACGUG